UACAGAGGAGCCAAGCGUUGUCCGGAUUGACUGGGCGUAAAGCGCACGCAGGCGGCUGCGCGCGUGGGGUGUGAAAUCUGGCCGCUUAACGGCCAGGCGCCAUCCCAUACGGCGCGGCUUGAGCCUUGCAGAGGGCGGUGGAAUUGCCGGUGUAGUGGUGAAAUGCGUAGAGAUCGGCAGGAACACCCAGGGGGAAAGCAGCCGCCUGGGCAAGCGCUGACGCUGAGGUGCGAGAGCGUGGGGAGCGAACCGG
RNAcentral lists this ribosomal RNA (253 nucleotides) under uncultured bacterium. Its description in RNAcentral is "partial 16S ribosomal RNA". It matches the Rfam family "Bacterial small subunit ribosomal RNA", at positions 524 to 776 of the family's 1533-position model. The record is from RNAcentral.